UAUCAACGGCAUCACGAGGGUCCUACUGUCUCCUCUCUCCAAUCAAUGAAACUGAUCUCUCCGUGAAGAAGCGGGGAUUUAACUAUAAGACGAGAAGACCCCAUGGAGCUUUAAACCCGACUACACCUCCACCUCUUAUACCCACAUAAUCAACGGAAUACUGUACAUCGGUUUUGGGUUGGGGUGACCACGGAGCACAAACUAACCUCCAUGAUGAAUAAGACUAACCCUUUAUCUAAGAGACACAUCUCUAAGAAUUAGCACACUAACAUAAAAUGAUCCGAUAUUCGAUCAACGAACCAAGUUACCCUGGGGAUAACAGCGCAAUCCACUUCAAGAGCCCCUAUCCACAAGUGGGUUUACGACCUCGAUGUUGGAUCAGGGUAUCCUAGUGGUGCAGCAGCUACUAAAGGUUCGUUUGUUCAACGAUUAA
This 433-nucleotide ribosomal RNA is filed under the name Spinomantis peraccae. RNAcentral describes it as "partial 16S ribosomal RNA". It matches the Rfam family "Bacterial large subunit ribosomal RNA", at positions 1991 to 2591 of the family's 2925-position model. The record is from RNAcentral. Lineage: Eukaryota; Metazoa; Chordata; Amphibia; Anura; Mantellidae.